GAUGAACGCUGGCGGCGUGCCUAAUACAUGCAAGUCGAGCGAACAGACGAGGAGCUUGCUCCUCUGACGUUAGCGGCGGACGGGUGAGUAACACGUGGAUAACCUACCUAUAAGACUGGGAUAACUUCGGGAAACCGGAGCUAAUACCGGAUAAUAUAUUGAACCGCAUGGUUCAAUAGUGAAAGACGGUUUUGCUGUCACUUAUAGAUGGAUCCGCGCCGCAUUAGCUAGUUGGUAAGGUAACGGCUUACCAAGGCGACGAUGCGUAUCCGACCUGAGAGGGUGAUCGGCCACCCUGGAACUGGAACACGGUCCAGACUCCUACGGGAGGCAGCAGUAGGGAAUCUUCCGCAAUGGGCGAAAGCCUGACGGAGCAACGCCGAGUGAGUGAUGAAGGUCUUCGGAUCGUAAAACUCUGUUAUUAGGGAAGAACAAAUGUGUAAGUAACUAUGCACGUCUUGACGGUACCUAAUCAGAAAGCCACGGCUAACUACGUG
RNAcentral lists this ribosomal RNA (497 nucleotides) under uncultured bacterium. RNAcentral describes it as "partial 16S ribosomal RNA". It matches the Rfam family "Bacterial small subunit ribosomal RNA", at positions 28 to 507 of the family's 1533-position model. The record is from RNAcentral.